UAUUGUUUUCUGACGGGUUAAUAGGGAAGCCGGUGCAAGUCCGGCACGGUCCCGCCACUGUGAAGCAGGGACUUUUCCAUAUGCCACUGAGCCUUUAGCGCUUGGGAAGGCGGAGAAGUCGUUACAACCUGCAAGUCAGGAGACCUGCCCUCAGCGAA
Molecule: non-coding RNA, 158 nt
Filed under: Paenibacillus lautus
Lineage: Bacteria; Bacillati; Bacillota; Bacilli; Caryophanales; Paenibacillaceae
Source: RNAcentral